GUGGGGAAUAUUGCACAAUGGGCGAAAGCCUGACGCAGCAACGCCGCGUGAGUGAUGAAGGCCUUCGGGUUGUAAAGCUCUGUCUUCUGGGACGAUAAUGACGGUACCAGAGGAGGAAGCCACGGCUAACUACGUGCCAGCAGCCGCGGUAAUACGUAGGUGGCAAGCGUUGUCCGGGUUUACUGGGCGUAAAGGAUGCGUAGGCGGAUACUUAAGUCAGAUGUGAAAAUCCCGGGCUUAACUUGGGAACUGCAUUUGAAACUGGGUAUCUAGAGUGCGGGAGAGGAAAGUGGAAUUCCUAGUGUAGCAGUGAAAUGCGUAGAGAUUAGGAAGAACACCAGUGGCGAAGGCGACUUUCUGGACCGUAACUGACGCUGAGGCAUGAAAGCGUGGGGAGCAAAC
This 402-nucleotide ribosomal RNA is filed under the name uncultured bacterium. RNAcentral's name for it is "bacterial SSU rRNA". It matches the Rfam family "Bacterial small subunit ribosomal RNA", at positions 354 to 773 of the family's 1533-position model. The record is from RNAcentral.